UGGGCCUGUAGCUCAGUUGGUUAGAGCACACGACUCAUAAUCGUUAGGUCCUCGGUUCAAGUCCGAGCAGGCCCACCAU
This 79-nucleotide transfer RNA is filed under the name Teredinibacter turnerae T7901. Its description in RNAcentral is "tRNA-Met". It matches the Rfam family "tRNA". From Rfam's summary of the family: Transfer RNA (tRNA) molecules are approximately 80 nucleotides in length. Their secondary structure includes four short double-helical elements and three loops (D, anti-codon, and T loops). The record is from RNAcentral. Lineage: Bacteria; Pseudomonadati; Pseudomonadota; Gammaproteobacteria; Cellvibrionales; Cellvibrionaceae.